ACGCUGGCGGCAUGCCUAAUACAUGCAAGUAGAACGCUGAAGGAGGAGCUUGCUUCUCCGGAUGAGUUGCGAACGGGUGAGUAACGCGUAGGUAACCUGCCUGGUAGCGGGGGAUAACUAUUGGAAACGAUAGCUAAUACCGCAUAACAGUAGAUGUUGCAUGACAUUUGCUUAAAAGGUGCAAUUGCAUCACUACCAGAUGGACCUGCGUUGUAUUAGCUAGUUGGUGGGGUAACGGCUCACCAAGGCGACGAUACAUAGCCGACCUGAGAGGGUGAUCGGCCACACUGGGACUGAGACACGGCCCAGACUCCUACGGGAGGCAGCAGUAGGGAAUCUUCGGCAAUGGACGGAAGUCUGACCGAGCAACGCCGCGUGAGUGAAGAAGGUUUUCGGAUCGUAAAGCUCUGUUGUAAGAGAAGAACGAGUGUGAGAGUGGAAAGUUCACACUGUGACGGUAUCUUACCAGAAAGGGACGGCUAACUACGUGCCAGCAGCCGCGGUAAUACGUAGGUCCCGAGCGUUGUCCGGAUUUAUUGGGCGUAAAGCGAGCGCAGGCGGUUAGAUAAGUCUGAAGUUAAAGGCUGUGGCUUAACCAUAGUACGCUUUGGAAACUGUUUAACUUGAGUGCAAGAGGGGAGGGUGGAAUUCCAUGUGUAGCGGUGAAAUGCGUAGAUAUAUGGAGGAACACCGGUGGCGAAAGCGGCUCUCUGGCUUGUAACUGACGCUGAGGCUCGAAAGCGUGGGGAGCAAACAGGAUUAGAUACCCUGGUAGUCCACGCCGUAAACGAUGAGUGCUAGGUGUUGGACCCUUUCCGGGGUUUAGUGCCGCAGCUAACGCAUUAAGCACUCCGCCUGGGGAGUACGACCGCAAGGUUGAAACUCAAAGGAAUUGACGGGGGCCCGCACAAGCGGUGGAGCAUG
Molecule: ribosomal RNA, 924 nt
Filed under: uncultured bacterium
Lineage: Bacteria
Description: bacterial SSU rRNA
Rfam family: Bacterial small subunit ribosomal RNA
Source: RNAcentral